Molecule: ribosomal RNA, 575 nt
Filed under: uncultured bacterium
Lineage: Bacteria
Description: partial 16S ribosomal RNA
Rfam family: Bacterial small subunit ribosomal RNA
Source: RNAcentral
UGGGGAAUAUUGCACAAUGGGCGCAAGCCUGAUGCAGCCAUGCCGCGUGUGUGAAGAAGGCCUUCGGGUUGUAAAGCACUUUCAGCGAGGAGGAAGGUGGUGAGCUUAAUACGCUCAUCAAUUGACGUUACUCGCAGAAGAAGCACCGGCUAACUCCGUGCCAGCAGCCGCGGUAAUACGGAGGGUGCAAGCGUUAAUCGGAAUUACUGGGCGUAAAGCGCACGCAGGCGGUUUGUUAAGUCAGAUGUGAAAUCCCCGGGCUCAACCUGGGAACUGCAUUUGAAACUGGCAAGCUAGAGUCUCGUAGAGGGGGGUAGAAUUCCAGGUGUAGCGGUGAAAUGCGUAGAGAUCUGGAGGAAUACCGGUGGCGAAGGCGGCCCCCCUGGACGAAGACCGACGCUCAGGUGCGAAAGCGUGGGGCAGCAAACAGGAUUAGAUACCCUGGUAGUCCACGCUGUAAACGAUGUCGAUUUGGAGGUUGUGCCCUUGAGGCGUGGCUUCCGGAGCUAACGCGUUAAAUCGACCGCCUGGGGAGUACGGCCGCAAGGUUAAAACUCAAAUGAAUUGACGGGGUC